Molecule: small nuclear RNA, 297 nt
Filed under: Mus caroli (Ryukyu mouse)
Lineage: Eukaryota; Metazoa; Chordata; Mammalia; Rodentia; Muridae
Description: sRNA (MGP_CAROLIEiJ_G0008584.1)
Rfam family: 7SK RNA
About the family: 7SK was discovered as an abundant small nuclear RNA in the mid-70s but a possible function has only recently been suggested. Two independent studies have found that 7SK RNA binds the CDK9/cyclin T complex (known as elongation factor P-TEFb). P-TEFb activates transcription by phosphorylating the C-terminal domain of RNA polymerase II.
Source: RNAcentral
UAACGUGGAGCUGGCUAGGACAUCUGUCACCCCAUUGCUCAUGGGGAUUGAUUCAGCUGCUCUGGCUGGCUAGGCAGGUGUACCCUUCCUCUCCGACCACUCCUGGUACAUUCUUCCUGAAGCUGCUCACAUGGUCAAGGAGGACCCCCGAAUAGAGGAAGGCCAGUCAGUGGAGUAACUGAGCUCCCCUGCUAGGACCUCCAAACAGAUUCUCAAAAAUUAGUAACACAAGUCACUUCAUUUAAUCACCUAGAUCCUGAAUUUCUAUGGAACCAGGAGGGGAUUAUUCAGAUUUUA